CUUCUCUCUUCUUCCCAUUCUGUUCUGGCCUUUAUCAUCAAUUAUUUCUCCUUAUACCCAAGUCCAAACUAUGCAAAAUCUAAAGAUAGAUUCAAUAGAACAACAACAAAAUCUCAAUUGUUUGUGUCUAUUACUUUUGCUUCUUAAUUUAGUUCAAAACAACACUACUCAAACCCAUAACAGUAAUACAUGCUAAUACUAACCCUUCUCUAAACAUAACAAUAAGGAAAACACUGAUCCAAUUGAGAUUUGGUUGGUUAAGGUUUUUUUUUUUUUAAAAAAAAAAAUAUUCAAACGACUCUCUCUUUUCCUCUUCUCCAAUCUUAUCUUCUUCUCUCUUUUCUUCUCUUCUAUUCUCAAAUCAAAAUCAAGUCGUGUAUGAAGAUGGUGGUUGAGUUUGACGGUGAUGGAUCUGCGAUGGUUGGAGGUCGUGCGCGGUGACGACGGUUGUGAUUGUGACGGCGACGUUGUGGUGGAUACUACGGUGACGGGUUUAACGGCGGUGGUGACAGUGAAGGUUUAACGACGGUGGUGAUGUGGUGGUUGGAUGGCUGCUUCUUCAAGCAUUAGUUGUUGUUGGUGGUGAUGCAGAAGGUUGUUGUGGUUGGUGGUAGAGAAUGAAAAAAAUUAUGGAUUUGAAAACCACCAAUAUUGUUGUUGUUCUCUCUGUAAAAACCCUGGAUUUGAAAAAACCACCGAAAUUUUUUUUGUUGUUGCUGAUUUUCUAUGAAGUUUCUGGAAAAUAUUUUUGGAAGAAAAAAGAUGAGGAUGAAGAAAGAAGGGAAGUAUAAAGUUUCUGGAAAAGAAACUUAAAAGAAAGAAGAAAGAAAAACGAACAUAUACAUGAGUAAGAAAAGAAAUAUGAAGUUUCCGAAGAAAAAAAAAUUGAUGUAUUUUUAAGUAUUUUUUUUUUUUAUAAUUGUAAAUAAAGACAUGUUAGUGAG
RNAcentral lists this long non-coding RNA (944 nucleotides) under Medicago truncatula (barrel medic). RNAcentral's name for it is "lncRNA gene37995". The record is from RNAcentral. Lineage: Eukaryota; Viridiplantae; Streptophyta; Magnoliopsida; Fabales; Fabaceae.